CAUACAUGUUUAUACCAUUUAUAUGUAUUAACUCACACACACACAUACACACAUUGAUAUCCACACAACAGACAAACAAACAAUUGUUAUUUUCAGGUUUGGAGCUGAGUGUAUACUUAAGGGUGGGCGGGGAUGGAUGGGUGGGUGUAGGAAUGCCACAGUGGCUGAGGGAAGUAACGCUUGGUAUAAUGCAUUUAACAUUGACUGCGGGAUUUAUUUUAAAACAUAUUAUUAUGAUGAUGAUGCUGGUGUAUAUGUGUGCCUGUGUGUGUGUUUAUAUAUAUAUAUAUAAAGCUGAAAAUCUGAAAGGCUGCAAUUUCAGUACUCAGUGACUGGUUUCUGAUAAUCAGCUGGUAAAAAAAUGAGUCCUGUAAUUUGUCACUUCUGAUCAAUCAACAGAUGUAUAUAUAUAUAUAUAUAUAUAUAUAUACAAACACACACACAUACAUAUGUAUGUAUGUAUAUAUUGAAUAUUUGGCAUUCAUUCAAGAAUAUAUAAUAAACUUUAUCUUAAAUUUGUGAGCAAGAUGAAUGACUUGAUCUUUGUAUGUGUGUGUAUAUGUGUUUAUAUAUAUAUAUAUAUAGUGUGUGUGUGUGUGUGUGUAUAUAUAUAUGGAGGGUGAGGUUGCAACAUUGGUAGGGCAGAGGAGAAAUUCUCUUGUGGUAUUACGUCCCAUUACAUUCAAAUGAGUUCAAAGAAUCCUGCCAAGGCCAACUUUGCCUUUUGCCUUCAGAGCUCAAUAAGACUUGUACCAGUUGCAUACUGGGGUCAGUAUAUUUGAUUAUAUAUAUAAUAGCCUUUAACACUGUGGCCCAGAAUUUCCACAAUUUAAUACUUAAAACUAGUAAUAUAUAUAUAUAUAUAUAUAUAUAUACACACACAUACAUAUAUACACAAACGCAUACAUGAACAUAUGCAUACACAUUAUGUUGAUCCUGUGCGAGAUGGAGAUAAUGUAUGUAUGUGUGUAUAUAUACACGGCACAAAAUAUGACUGAAUGGUGCUUUUUGAUUCAUAUUAGUUGGUCUUGUUGAAAAGUUAGGGGUUCAAUUUUCAGCAAGGCUGCUGUAGAAUUUUGUUGUUUAAUAGUUGAUCACUUUGAUGUUUUUUUUUUAAAAUUUUUCCUCUCUAUCUUUCUUCUCUUGUGUGUGAGUGUGUGUAUGUAUCUGUGCAUGUAUGUGUUUAUGUGAGUGAAUUUGUACUUCCCCUCACCUUCAUAUGUGUUUUCUGAUUGUAAAGAAUGCCCUUGCUGUCCUUGCAGACAGUGUUGUCUACUUGCAGUUUACUUGCAAAAGCACGUAUGGGCUUCUCAACAUAUUGUGCAAUCUUUGUUAAAAAACAAGGCACAUUCAUAGUGUUGUUUGUUUCCAGUUCUCUGUGUAACACAAUGUUCAGGCUGUUGAUUGUUUGAUAAACUGGUAGAUUAUUACUUUGUUUGGAAUCAAGUGGGUGCUUGGCAUCAGGAAAGGGCAUCUGUGUAUAGAAAACUUGGAAUUCUGGUUUAAAGCACCCCAUAUAACCCCUCAUAACUUUUAUUAAUUCUUGGAAUUUUCAAAGAAUUUUUGUGAAUUUUGUAUUCUAUACAGUAAUUAUUCUAUGAUUGUGCAAAAAAAAAAAAAUUGUGAUUUAAGGGCAAUUUAGCUGUUGUUUUUAGCACCUUCCACAACCAUUUGAUACCUUCGUCACUCUGACAUGUAUUGAUGUUUUCAAUAAUUUUUCUCCGCAUAAACAUUUACUGGAAUGAUGAUGCACCCAAGGGUGGUCCGUUGCUGGGAUUUAAGCAAAAAAUUCAGGCUGUAUUUUAAGGUGAUUAAAAAAAAAAA
Molecule: long non-coding RNA, 1824 nt
Filed under: Octopus sinensis (East Asian common octopus)
Lineage: Eukaryota; Metazoa; Mollusca; Cephalopoda; Octopoda; Octopodidae
Description: uncharacterized LOC118767589, transcript variant X2
Source: RNAcentral